This is an unclassified non-coding RNA of Pongo abelii (Sumatran orangutan), 147 nucleotides long. It matches the Rfam family "Metazoan signal recognition particle RNA". From Rfam's summary of the family: The signal recognition particle (SRP) is a universally conserved ribonucleoprotein. It is involved in the co-translational targeting of proteins to membranes. The record is from Ensembl. Lineage: Eukaryota; Metazoa; Chordata; Mammalia; Primates; Hominidae.
GCUGGGCAUGGUGAUGCGCGCCUGUAAUCUAGCUACUUUGGAGGCUGAGAUAGGAGGAUGGCUUGAGCCCAGGAGUUUGAGGCUGCAGUGAGCUGUGAUCACACCACUGCACUCAAGCCUGGGCAACAGAGCGAGACCCUGUCUUUU